GAUGAACGCUGGCGGCGUGCUUAACACAUGCAAGUCGAGCGAAUGGAUUAAGAGCUUGCUCUUAUGAAGUUAGCGGCGGACGGGUGAGUAACACGUGGGUAACCUGCCCAUAAGACUGGGAUAACUCCGGGAAACCGGGGCUAAUACCGGAUAACAUUUUGAACCGCAUGGGUCGAAAUUGAAAGGCGGCUUCGGCUGUCACUUAUGGAUGGACCCGCGUCGCAUUAGCUAGUUGGUGAGGUAACGGCUCACCAAGGCAACGAUGCGUAGCCGACCUGAGAGGGUGAUCGGCCACACUGGGACUGAGUCACGGCCCAGACUCCUACGGGAGGCAGCAGUAGGGAAUCUUCCGCAAUGGACGAAAGUCUGACGGAGCAACGCCGCGUGAGUGAUGAAGGCUUUCGGGUCGUAAAACUCUGUUGUUAGGGAAGAACAAGUGCUAGUUGAAUAAGCUGGCACCUUGACGGUACCUAACCAGAAAGCCACGGCUAACUACGUGCCAGCAGCCGCCGUAA
This 515-nucleotide ribosomal RNA is filed under the name uncultured bacterium. Its description in RNAcentral is "partial 16S ribosomal RNA". It matches the Rfam family "Bacterial small subunit ribosomal RNA", at positions 28 to 523 of the family's 1533-position model. The record is from RNAcentral.